GCUUUUCCAUGGGACACUGGAAUUCCUUUCUGAACAUACAGGUGUUCCCCGCCCCCUGCCACCGACGCCGCCAUUAGGAGUUACCGUGUUCGUUGCAAUUCGAAUACCUCAGGGACGGGUAGAAGAAAGAAAAACUGUAAAUGCUCUUCACUUGGACCACCCCAUCCCGAGAGCAUUUUGAUUCCUUUCAUUGCAUCCUCUUUCUUAAGUAUUAAAAAAAAAAAAGUCAGGUUUGUGAUCGUAAUGCAAUACAUGUUUUCCCUCAUUUUCGUAUGCUAAAACAAACAUCCCAGUAAAACUAGUCUCCCCGUGUAAGCGCUGUUUAAGUGCUCGGACAACGUUUCAGUCUGUAGGGGUUGGACAUUUAGAGGAUCACCAUGCAUGUCAUUUCUGAGUAUGCAGAGGUGAGGAAUAACACCCAAAAGACUGGGUCUGUGCUUCAGGCGCUGUCCUGAGCAAACGGACCUUAUUUGACAGAGCUAAUUAUUAAAUUGACAAUUUAAUUGACAGAGUGUCUUACCAGCAGUUUUGUAAAGUCGAGAAAGAACGCUACAGUGUGAGAACUAACCAAUCAGACGCCCAAUGACUCUUCUAGUACCCAGGGUGCAGUGCGAAGCAAGCAGGCAAGGUCUCUCCUCCUUUAGAGUACACGUGGGAAACACAGUAAAUGGGUGGAGUGCCACUCAGCCGUUACAGAAAAUGAGGUAUUCAUGGAGCUGGAGACAAGGUCCGUGCUUAAGUGCACUGGCUGCUGUUCCAGACGACUCGGGUUUGAUUCCCAGCACCCACAUGGCAGCUCAGAACAACCAUUGGUAACCCCAGUCCCCCGAGAUUCAAUCCCUCGGAGGGAACCGAGUAUGAAUGGGGUGCAUGGGCAUAUGACAAAACGCCUGUACACGUAAAAAAAAAAAAUUCAACAGCAAAAGCAAGUGUGGUACUGAUUGGUGUGUGCUACAAACAGAACAUGACCGAUGAAAGAAGCCAGUCACAGAGGGCCACAGGUCACCGUGCGAUUCCAUUUAGAUGAGGUGUUCAGACUGAAAAUCUACUGCUGCUCAGUCCGUGCUGCCCAUCCAUGGGGAGGUAAGCACUGUUGAUGUGCCCAGAGGAGAGCGCUGCUCAGACAGCACAGCAGAGCGGGAACUGACCAUCUGAACAGGCAUUCCCUCUGGCCCCUCUUCAGUUUACCUCAUCCUCACAGCCCAUCCCAGCAGCCAGCUCUGCCCGUGGAGGAGGCGAGGUCAGAAGAGACAAUUGCGCUUCUCACCUGGCUGUCACAUUAAGUGUGCUCUGCUGCAUGCUUGAGAAUGACCUUUGCCCUGAAAGAAGCCAGCAGCUUCAGUGAGCUGGGCACCAUCUCCCUCUGUCUACGCAUGGAUGCAUUUGUAAGCUAAUGUGCCCUCCUCAUAGGGAAAGCUUCCCACUCCUUCUAAUCAGUUGUGAAGGCCUGAUGGUCGAUUCUGAUCCUGGCUCUGGCACAGAUGGGUCCUCCGACGACCUCCAAUGAGAUAUUCUUGACUUCGUACGGUGUGACCAGUGUCUCUCCAUUCGGCUGUUCUCCCCUGUGGCCUUUGUAACAAAUAAGCAGAUCCUGCUCUCAAAUUUAUGGCCUUCCUGCUUCAGCCUGCCAACGGCUGGCAUUGACUACCGCACCCCACUGGAACUCCAAGUUUUGAAGCUGGACUUCAGUGUGAGCAUCCUGAGACCCUAGUGUCUGAAGUGACUGGAUGGACGUCUGGGUUCGAUGCUGUCUCCUAGUAACAGUUCUCAACAUCGAAUUGACUUGUAGGGUCUCCCAGUUACCAUGCAAAGAAUGAGAAAGGGGAAAACUCAUGUAUUUCCCGCCAGAGGUAUUAUCUGUAAACACAGUUCAAUGACAUCAUCUAAUCUAAGAGUUUGAUAUCAGUUGAUUAUAAUCACUGCUAUUUGGGACUUAUUUUGGACAGUUUAUUUCAUGUUUCACUGUUCAUUUAUUUAUUUUUACUUUUGGACAAGGCGUCUCCUUGUAGUCCUGAUUAUUCGGGAGCUGCCUGUGUAGACCAUGGUGGCCUCAGACUCACUGAGGGCUUCCUGCCUCUGCCUCCCAAGUGCUGGGGUUAAAGCGUGCACCGCCAUGCCUGGGUCUACUAUUCUUUUUAAUUUUUAGCCAUUCUAACAGGUCUUUGUAUUUUCCUCACGGUUAGAUUUCAGACGUUAUUAUAUCCAUUUACUUAUGCCUGCACACAUCAUUUGUCGAAAUGUCAACCCACACCCUUUGUCUGUGUUAUUUAUAACUGAGUUGUUUAUUCACAAACUACAAGUGUCGUGUGCCCUAGACCUUUCUCGGGGAUGAAGUGGAAAUUUCUGCUUUC
This 2351-nucleotide small RNA is filed under the name Rattus norvegicus (Norway rat). RNAcentral describes it as "uncharacterized LOC102546535". The record is from RNAcentral. Lineage: Eukaryota; Metazoa; Chordata; Mammalia; Rodentia; Muridae.